Molecule: transfer RNA, 72 nt
Filed under: Ictidomys tridecemlineatus (thirteen-lined ground squirrel)
Lineage: Eukaryota; Metazoa; Chordata; Mammalia; Rodentia; Sciuridae
Also listed under: 1 other name
Description: Spermophilus tridecemlineatus (thirteen-lined ground squirrel) tRNA
Rfam family: tRNA
About the family: Transfer RNA (tRNA) molecules are approximately 80 nucleotides in length.
Source: Rfam by way of RNAcentral
GGGGUUGUAGCUCAGUGGCAGAGCACUUGCCUAGCACGUGUGAGGCAUUGGGUUAAAUCCUCAGCACCACCU